AAAGAGGGGGGGCAAGGGGGGUCCCAAUAACAGCAAAACAGCAAAUUGAUUUGGCUUAUAACAGAUAACAAGGAAUUAAAAUGGACAAAAACAGAUAACAGUAAAUGAAAUAUUAAAAUAAGUCGGGUCCUUGACAAAUCCAGUAUUUCUUAUUACGGGUAUAAUCCUUUGUAAUGAAUUCCAUUUUCUAUGAACAUGGUUUUCAGAAUUAUGUAUUUGGUAUAUUCUUGUCCGUCCGUCGUCAACAUGUCGGACAUUGAUUCAAACAUUCUUUAACCAAUUUACAUAAAAUUUUGGGAAAUUGUUU
This 307-nucleotide long non-coding RNA is filed under the name Mytilus galloprovincialis (Mediterranean mussel). The record is from RNAcentral. Lineage: Eukaryota; Metazoa; Mollusca; Bivalvia; Mytilida; Mytilidae.